AUUGAACGCUGGCGGCAGGCCUAACACAUGCAAGUCGAGCGGAUGAUUGGAGCUUGCUCGUGGAUUCAGCGGCGGACGGGUGGGUAAUGCCUAGGAAUCUGGCUUGUCGUGGGGGAUAACGUCCUGAUACGGGCGCUAAUACCGCAUCCGUCCUGUUGGCGCAAUUGGGUGGUCUUGGGACGUCACGCCAUCAGAUUAGCGUAGUUCGGACUAGCUAGUUGGUGGGGUAAAGGCCUACCAAGGCGACGCAGCGUAACUGGUAUGAGAGGAUGAUCAGUCAGCCUGGAACUGAGACACAGUCCAGACUCCUACAGGAAGCAGCAGUGGAGAAUAUUGGACGAUGGGGGAGAGGCUGAUCCUGCCAAGCCGGGUGUGUGAAGAAGGACUUCGGAUUGGAGAGCACUUUAAGUUGGGGGGAAGGGCAGUAAGUUAAUCCCUUGCUGUUUUGACAUUACCAACAGAAUAAGCACCGGCUAACUUCGUG
This 484-nucleotide ribosomal RNA is filed under the name uncultured bacterium. Its description in RNAcentral is "partial 16S ribosomal RNA". It matches the Rfam family "Bacterial small subunit ribosomal RNA", at positions 30 to 507 of the family's 1533-position model. The record is from RNAcentral.